This is a long non-coding RNA of Medicago truncatula (barrel medic), 1052 nucleotides long. RefSeq lists it as uncharacterized. The transcript has 3 exons. NCBI's taxonomy places the organism in Eukaryota, Viridiplantae, Streptophyta, Magnoliopsida, Fabales, Fabaceae. The record is from RefSeq and is a predicted model, not a curated record.
UACGAUAUUUAUGGCUGCAGUUCAGCCUAUAUUAUCAAACCCAUAAAUAUCUCGUUUUUAAUCGAGUCCUGGUAGCUUCUAAAUAGAUAUUAUAUUCUACAUUUUUGUAGUCUUGAUUUGUUGGUACUAUUGGUAUGAUUUGUCUGAAGCCAAGUAUUUUGUAUGAUUUUGGUUCCCUAACAAAUCAAAAAUAUAAUUAUUUUUCUAUAUGGCAAAUAGGUUUUCAAAUCUUAUUUUUCUUUUUGUUCAAAUCCUGUUUUAGUUUAAUUGCAAGAGAGAGUCUGAAGGUUCUCCUCGGCGUUCAAAACGCUUAGCCGGAGAAAAACCUGAGCUGACCAUCGAUGUCACCUCUAAAAGAACUCUAGAAUAUACAAUCAAAAAGACUAGAGCUGCCAAUGCAAAUUUGCAACAAACAGAAGCUACAAAAGAUACACAAUCAGAAGCUACACAAUCCUUCGCUUCCCCUCACUCCUCGUCUGACUCAUGCUUGGAAUCAACAACUAAUGAGACUGGCCAAGAAGUUAUGUUGUUUGGGGUUGUCAUAGGAUUUAGCAGCAACAAAAAGCUUCCACAUGGAGUGUCUGAGGUAUCAUCUGCAAAUGAAAAGCAGCAUAUCGAGAACACUACAAGCAACCAACGACCUUUUGUAGGCAUGUAUGAUGAAAGCACCAAAGAAUCACAGAUGUAGCAGUGUCUUCUGAAUUGAUGGUUGCUCCUGCUCCAAAGCGGUCCUCAAACUGACUUGCUAGCAAGAAACCGGUUGUCGUGUCUAACGGAAGAGCACUCAAGCAUGCAUAAAAAUCAUGCAUUGAGAUAUUUGGGACUACAUUGGUGGAUUUUUAUAUACUUUAUAGGCUAAACUGACGGACUUUAUAUAGUUUAAGGACUAUUUAAUAUAUUUUAUAAUGUAGGGAUUAAAUUGAAGAGUGAUAGUUUAGAGAUUAAAUUGAUGGUUUAUUCUUGAAUUAUACAGUAAUCUAUAAUGAAUUCUUAAAUUAUGCAGUAAUCUACGACGAAUGAUGAUGAUAUCUCGAGCAACUUCCCUCCUUCGG